ACCUACUUGACUCAGCGGUUAGAGUAUCGCUUUCAUACAGCGAGAGUCAUUGGUUCAAAUCCAAUAGUAGGUA
This 73-nucleotide transfer RNA is filed under the name Hordeum vulgare. RNAcentral describes it as "tRNA-Met". It matches the Rfam family "tRNA". From Rfam's summary of the family: Transfer RNA (tRNA) molecules are approximately 80 nucleotides in length. The record is from RNAcentral. RNAcentral also lists the same sequence under 3 other names. Lineage: Eukaryota; Viridiplantae; Streptophyta; Magnoliopsida; Poales; Poaceae.